RNAcentral lists this ribosomal RNA (501 nucleotides) under uncultured bacterium. Its description in RNAcentral is "partial 16S ribosomal RNA". It matches the Rfam family "Bacterial small subunit ribosomal RNA", at positions 30 to 523 of the family's 1533-position model. The record is from RNAcentral.
AUUGAACGCUGGCGGCAUGCCUUACACAUGCAAGUCGAACGGCAGCACGGGUGCUUGCACCUGGUGGCGAGUGGCGAACGGGUGAGUAAUAUAUCGGAACGUACCUUAUUGUGGGGGAUAACGCAGCGAAAGCUGUGCUAAUACCGCAUAAUCCCUAAGGGGGAAAGCGGGGGACCGUAAGGCCUCGCGCAAUUAGAGCGGCCGAUACCUGAUUAGCUAGUUGGUGAGGUAAAGGCUCACCAAGGCAACGAUCAGUAGCUGGUCUGAGAGGACGAUCAGCCACACUGGGACAGAGACACGGCCCAGACUCCUACGGGAGGCAGCAGUGGGGAAUUUUGGACAAUGGGGGCAACCCUGAUCCAGCAAUGCCGCGUGAGUGAAGAAGGCCUUCGGGUUGUAAAGCUCUUUUGUCAGGGAAGAAACAGCAGCUCUAACACAGUAUGCGAAUGACGGUACCUGAAGAAUAAGCACCGGCUAACUACGUGCCAGCAGCCGCCGCAG